UACAGAGGUCUCAAGCGUUGUUCGGAUUCAUUGGGCGUAAAGGGCGCGUAGGCGGCCCGCUAAGUCGAACGUGAAAUCCCCAGGCUCAACCUGGGAACUGCGUCCGAUACUGGCAGGCUUGAAUCCGGGAGAGGGAUGUGGAAUUCCAGGUGUAGCGGUGAAAUGCGUAGAUAUCUGGAGGAACACCGGUGGCGAAGGCGGCAUCCUGGACCGGUAUUGACGCUGAGGCGCGAAAGCUAGGGGAGCAAACGGG
This 253-nucleotide ribosomal RNA is filed under the name uncultured bacterium. Its description in RNAcentral is "partial 16S ribosomal RNA". It matches the Rfam family "Bacterial small subunit ribosomal RNA", at positions 524 to 776 of the family's 1533-position model. The record is from RNAcentral.